CAAUAAGCGGAGGAAAAGAAACCAACCGGGAUUGCCUUAGUAACGGCGAGUGAAGCGGCAAAAGCUCAAAUUUGAAAUCUGGCACCUUCGGUGUCCGAGUUGUAAUUUGAAGAAGCUACUUUGGGGCUAGUCCUUGUCUAUGUUCCUUGGAACAGGACGUCAUGGAGGGUGAGAAUCCCGUAUGGCGAGGAGUCUAGUCCUAUGUAAAGUGCUUUCGACGAGUCGAGUUGUUUGGGAAUGCAGCUCUAAGUGGGUGGUAAAUUCCAUCUAAAGCUAAAUAUUGGCGAGAGACCGAUAGCGAACAAGUACAGUGAUGGAAAGAUGAAAAGAACUUUGAAAAGAGAGUGAAAAAGUACGUGAAAUUGUUGAAAGGGAAGGGCAUUUGAUCAGACAUGGUGUUUUGCGACCCUCGCUCCUUGUGGGUGGGGAUCUCGCAGCUCACUGGGCCAACAUCAGUUUUGGCGGUAGGAUAAAUCUUUGGGAAUGUGGCUUGUCUUCGGAGAAGCGUUAUAGCCCAGGGGAAUACUACCAGCCGGGACUGAGGACUGCGACUUUUGUCAAGGAUGUUGGCAUAAUGGUUAAAUGCCGCCC
This 591-nucleotide ribosomal RNA is filed under the name Lachancea sp. UWOPS 79-139. RNAcentral's name for it is "LSU rRNA". It matches the Rfam family "Eukaryotic large subunit ribosomal RNA", at positions 44 to 650 of the family's 3401-position model. The record is from RNAcentral. Lineage: Eukaryota; Fungi; Ascomycota; Saccharomycetes; Saccharomycetales; Saccharomycetaceae.